Molecule: long non-coding RNA, 2270 nt
Organism: Lotus japonicus
Lineage: Eukaryota; Viridiplantae; Streptophyta; Magnoliopsida; Fabales; Fabaceae
Exons: 3
Source: RefSeq, a predicted model, not a curated record
ACAAAGACUACACAGUAGGCCUUCCACGUGAGUUUACCACCAAAAAUAUCCCACAGAAAUAGCACUUUGGCAUUGAAAACCUUAGCAGGCCGAUGGAGCCACAGGCCAGCAAAAACCCAAGACAGAUCACAAAAUCAGUAUCAGUGAACCAGAGCAGAACACACGGGCAUCAGUAGAUUUUAAUUCAGUUAACAGCAAAAGGAAUACAAGAUACAAGAGACCAGCACUACAACAUUUUGGUCCUACGGCAACGCCUCACCUUGCUACGGACGGGAAACCGUUGCCAUAGAUGAGAUUUGCAUACAGUUUAUAUAUAUGUUCUGUUUGUGCGUAAAAGAAUUUGUUCUGCGAGUUGGAAACACUUUUUUCCCAUUUGUUUUAUGAAACCCUUCUAAUAGCGUUGCACAUAGCCAGAUUGUUUCUAAAAGUCAUUACUAAAUAAGCGUUUCUAAAGAUCAUUAUGUUCUCUAAUAUUUUACUAAAUAAAAAGCCAAAGAAAUGGGUUGUUCCCAUCUCGUGUUCACAACUGCGUCGUUCCCAUCCCCGCCGCGCAUCGAUCAUCGAUCUUCACCGCCGUUUCUGAGCCACCGUGACACCACCAACCCUCGCCGAUGUUGAAGACGAACCCAAACUCUGACUGGAGACGGUGGCCACAAAAUCGAUGCUGGUCAAUGCACUCACGCAUCAAAUCGCGAAGCUCCAUUCUUCUUCUCGAAGCUCCAUAAUCGCUGCCUCUGCGAUGGUGAAAUCAGAAGGAUUCAGUUUCAAAGAACUUUGGUUUCCGGAAGAAGAGUGAUUGAUUCCUUAAUUUUGAUUUUGUUCAUUUUCAGGUUGUUCUGUAUGGAGAUCUCUCUCCGCCCUUGUGAUCCUCAUUCCGCUGCUCUUCAUCCAUGGCGGUCUCUGCUUCUACCUCCCUGGCAUAGUGCCGCAAGAUUUCCAGAAGGUUAUGUGAGGGUGGAGAACUGCUGGAUCAGAUAUUGGCCUAGUGUGGGCCUAUGAAUUGCUAAUUGAGAAUGACAUUAUUGAGAAAGGGGGCAGGAACCGAAGAAGAUAAAAUAGUAGAUGGCGUGUAAUGGGAGCAGAAGCAGACAUAUAUAAGUUGGGGUGCCAAUUCCAAAAAUCAAGGGCUUUUUAUUUUAAUGCUCUCACUUAUUUCCUUUUUCCUUUUACUUGUGAAAUUACUUGAAACUUGUACUGCAAAACUUGGCUACUUAAAGAAAUAAAUAUAUAACAUGUUUUAAACUUGGAGCUUGCAGGAUGUGGGAACCACCUGAAUCUAAUGGGAUGCUUUCAAAAACGCUAGCAUGAACAAGAACUGCGAGCAGUCUCAGGGAAUCUGUUUCCAUUUGGCUACAUUUUCUUUCUAUUAAAGUUUUUCCUCCUUCGAUCAAUAGUUAAUAAUUUUGCAUAAUGUGUUAAAUUCUUACCCUCCUUGCCGUGCUUAUUUUAUUAUUUACUUUCAUUUUUUCCUACUAUACAUUGGUGGUUACUAAUGAUGCAUGCUAUUUUCACUUUCAGGUAAACAGAAUCAUGGAACUCCCACAAGAUAGUAAGGUAGUAGCCAAGCACACAGAUAGUCCCAAUGUAAGGAUGAGUUUUCUAUACUUCAUUUUCCUUGUCAAACUGGACUAUGCUUAAAUACUAUCUAUUGGUGCAUGCCAGUAGUUGUUUCACUGUGUUUAUAGCUAGUCAUUUCUUUAGUUUCCUACACCUUUAGAGAGACAUUGAGGAGGAAGAAACAGAACUAGAGAUCAAGAAGUGAACCUCGACUGGUAUUUGCAAAUCCCUAAAACUUGCAUCUUCUCUACCUAAUACUAAUAAUGUUUAAGUUCACUGUCUCAAAUGUUGCUAACUAGCAUUGUUGUCAUGUGCCCAUUGCCAGGUAUGUGUUUACUUAUCUUAAAGCUUUUCAUUCUUUCUUGUGUUUUGCACUCAUUCAGCUCUCUUUUUUAACUAUAAAAUUUUCUAUUUCGAGGAGCACAUCAUAAAAAGUACUUUGUUGCUUUGCUCUUGUUUGCCUUUCACUUCAAGUAGAUUAUUUUUGCCUUACCGAUUGUUACCUUGCAGGUGCUUUUGUCUUCUUGGAUUAUGUUUUGGCUGAGGAUUGGUCUUAACUAGAAGUAUUUUGACUUUGUUUCUUGGUAUUAGAAUGAUUGGGCUCAUGUGAUUGUGGCUUAUUAAUUAAAAGUUUUGUACUGCAGAAUUAUUGCCAUGUGACAGUUUAUUUGUGGUACUUUGGCGACUUGGAAAACCAUAUGCUUUAUCUCUAA